CCCUAGUAACGGCGAGUGAAGCGGGAACAGCUCAAAUUUGAAAUCUGGCCCUUGGGUCCGAGUUGUAAUUUGCAGAGGAUGCUUUUGGUGCGGUGCCUUCCGAGUUCCCUGGAACGGGACGCCUUAGAGGGUGAGAGCCCCGUACGGUUGGCCACCAAGCCUGUGUAAAGCUCCUUCGACGAGUCGAGUAGUUUGGGAAUGCUGCUCAAAAUGGGAGGUAUAUUUCUUCUAAAGCUAAAUACUGGCCAGAGACCGAUAGCGCACAAGUAGAGUGAUCGAAAGAUGAAAAGCACUUUGAAAAGAGGGUUAAAUAGCACGUGAAAUUGUUGAAAGGGAAGGAUUUAUGACCAGACUUUUUCUAGGGGGAUCAUCCGGUGUUCUCACCGGUGCACUUCCCCUGGUUGAGGCCAGCAUCGGUUUCUGUCGGGGGAUAAAAGCUUCGGGAAUGUGGCUCCUUCGGGAGUGUUAUAGCCUGUUGCAUAAUACCCUGACGGGGACCGAGGUUCGCGCAUUGCAAGGAUGCUGGCGUAAUGGUUAUUAAUCACCCGUCUUGAAACACGGACCAAGGAGUCGAACAUUUGUGCGAGUGUUUGGGUGUUAAACCCUCACGCGUAAUGAAAGUGAACGGAGGUGAGAGCCCUUCGGGGUGCAUCAUCGACCGAUCCUGAUGUCUUCGGAUGGAUUUGAGUAAGAGCAUAACUGUUCGGACCCGAAAGAUGGUGAACUAUGCGUGGAUAGGGUGAAGCCAGAGGAAACUCUGGUGGAGGCUCGCAGCGGUUCUGACGUGCAAAUCGAUCGUCAAAUCUGCGCAUGGGGGCGAAAGACUAAUCGAACCAU
RNAcentral lists this ribosomal RNA (837 nucleotides) under Apiospora balearica. Its description in RNAcentral is "Arthrinium balearicum partial large subunit ribosomal RNA". It matches the Rfam family "Eukaryotic large subunit ribosomal RNA", at positions 78 to 943 of the family's 3401-position model. Lineage: Eukaryota; Fungi; Ascomycota; Sordariomycetes; Amphisphaeriales; Apiosporaceae. The record is from RNAcentral.